AACUGAUACCUUCAAACAUCCAGCAGGGAGCUCUCUAGUGUGGAGUUAAUACUCCGCUAACGUUAUGCACUUUUCCCUUGCAACCAUCCGAUAGUUUGGGGACGACAAAUAAGCUGACAAUGGGAAUGCCCUAAACCAAUAAUAACAAGAAUCGUUAAUGUGUAUAUAUGUCAAAUACAUAAUUUAAGCAAACAGUUUCAAUUUAAGACAAUUAUAUGUAAUUACCUCUGGAAUGUUCGGCUGAAAGGUACAGUGAUACUGUUUUUGUCGAAGCAUCUCUGUAUACCGUUGAGGCGCUAGUCUCUCUUUCUCUCCCAAUGCAUCAAGCUCAGCUUGCAUUGGCUUCCAAUCUUGCAUGAAGCUCCCGAUUACUAUGAGCCUUUUCCUUUUCUAACACUGAGGGAGGUCGGAGUGACUCCAAAUCCCUUACCCCUCACCCGACCAGAUACUCAGGGACAUUCUAAUGCCCGACUAAGUAUGCUCUUAGUAUCAUCGGGAGAUAGAGACUGAGAUAGCUCCUCCUGAAAAAAUCAGAUGAAUACCGUAUACUUGUCAAAUAUGGUGUAUAAAAAUGUUAUUCAAUUAAUGAAAAAAUAUUAUACUACAACAUUUCUGGUAUACGUUGGUUAUUAAAACGUUCUUUCUUUGUGGGAACUCCAGAUUCCCACACGGGCUUCGCUUACCACAAAACAUGUGCAGGAAGAGAUGUUUCAUUGAACUUUCCUCCUUCUGCAGCUACACAGUUAAGUUUCAUACAAUUUGAUCAGAUAAAACUAUAUAUGAUUGAACAAAUUUGUUUCGCAAAUUUAUAAAUACUUACCAUGGGAUUGUUCUAAGCGUCCAUAAUCCGACACGUCGCUUUCGGUACGAUAUGCGGGACUGAUGCUCUUUCCCGAUUUGUAGACUUAUUCUCUUUGAAAAGUCGGGUUUGUCUUUGGUUUGAAAGCUUUCCCAUUCUUCAGCCGAUAUCAAACUUUCAUUAUUUUCUAGAAGCUCCGCCAUCCCAAAAAUUUAACCAUCCGCAUCCUUAAGAACGUUGGAUGUAAAAAAAUGGGUCCUGAAACCCUCUAAGAAGCUUUCCGGCCAAUUCAUGCAAAACCCUCGUCUUUUCUUCUUUCGAUGUUUAAACAUCGCUAAGAAAAAACAUACAGGAUGGUGAUUAGUUAGUAUGGUAAUUUAAAAAAAACAUAAUGAUACGUAUAAUUAAGGGCCCAAAUGAUUGUACCUUUAUCUCACUCCAAAUUAUUUUCUUUUGGACUCUUUCAACUUUUAUUCUCAGCAUCACACGUAAUGGGAAUUUCAUUCCUUACUAGUGCACCGAGAAACUAGUUAAGUAUGGCCCAUAGCGUUCUAUAAGUUGUCCCUGGUUGUUCCAAGAGACAUCUAGUAUGAUGCUGCGAGAUCUUCCUCUGGACCACCCCUUCGCAUUACGUGAUGCCUUCUUCGGAUUUCUUCUUCCGCGGAAUACUUUACUAGAACUUCCUCAUGUUGGUAUCAGCCAUGUCUAACCUGUAAUAAACCAAGGAAACCAUGCAAAUAUUCAAAUAUAAUUAUAUUCAAAACAAUUGAAAACAAAAAAAUUAAAGAAAUCAAUGCAUUAUCAGAUAUAACUUAUAAUCAAAGCAAUUGAGCUACAAAAAUAUAAUGAAAUCAUGCAUACCACAUAUAAACCUUAUAGAUCAAAAACAAAUUGAAAACAAAAAUAAAGAAACCAUGGAUAAUUUACCUAAGUCACUUAACAUCUCUUCUUUUCUUGUUGUUGGAAUAUAUCACUUGUUUCUUUAGCAAUGCGUACGAUGAAUUGAUCCAAUUUCCCUCAUGUAUGAUGCGUUUCUUAUAUAUGAACUCAUCCGGUAUAAGAUCCUCAAACUUCAUCAUUUCUAUUCAACUCGAUUCCGUUAAUGCAUGCUUCAUUCUCAACAUUCAAUACACAUUUGAUCGACACCGCUUAUUCAUGCAGUCACUUUGUUAGAGAAAAAGCCACUAUAGACCAUUUUGUAACUCUUUGCGCGUCUUCACAUAGAACACUUGUUUUAGCUUGAGAUGCUAGAAUAAAAUGGUUCAUCUUUGUACCCCACCCUAGUAAGAUCAACUUGCCAAAAUUCCAGACGUUAUCCAUUCGUAUGCCACUACUAUUCACCCACUGCAACAAAGAUGGGAAUCUGAAACUUCUCGUAAUCAAACACCAAAUGUGCCUCAAAUUAACAAAAUAUGACAAAUUUGCCAUAUUGGGGUUUUAAGUCCUUCAUACUUGAUAUAUUGCAUUGCUUCAGCUAGCACGGUGCACCCACUUAUUUUGCAUUUAGUACUCUUAUCAUCUUGUCUUCUGUUGGUAUAAAAUCGGGUAUCCAUUAACUUGAAUAUUGCGCUAUGAGAAAACACAUGCAAACUUGGACCAUAUUCCAAACAUCUCAAACCUUUCUGUUUACCGAAGAAGGAUCUGAAGAGGCUUCAAAUAAAUAUGAUCCUUCAACAUUGUAUGAAACUUUUGAUUGAUGCUCUAUAACUAUCCAAUUUUCAUGUCUCUUUCGCGAUGUUAACCUCGGAGACAUCCUUGUCGCAUUCAACAUUGGGCUCAACCUCAUUAUUAUGUGGGAACAUACAAUGAACUUCGAUCCCGUUCAUCCCUGAUAUUGUUCACAAUUUUAUUCCCAAUUAAUUUUACCUUCCAUUUUGUCGAAAAUCUGGCUCUGGGGAGUCAAUCGAUUGAACGUGAGACAAAUAAUUCAGUACAAAAACUCAACACGCUUCUUCAAACAAUGUAUCGUUCAACAAUACAAACCCUCUGGUUCGACUUCGGGAUUUCACGUACCCUUUUAAUAUUUUCAUACCGUUCAGCAGGUACAUCCAUCUCAUGUAAAGCUUGGUCCACCACAACUGUGUUCUCUCUUUCACAAAGAUGAACAACUAAAUUGGAACCAUUAUGUCAAAAAAGACGGAGGAAAAUACAUUUCAAGCCUCACACAAGGUAAUUUACAAUCUCUUUAUGUAAGUGUUGGUAAGAUCUCGGAUUCGAUCUCACCUUACUUACAAAAUUGACCUAAAGAAAAAAACCACAAUUUAGUUAUGGCAUCUUCUUACUUUUUCUGGCCAAAAAUAGAACGUAUUACCUAUCGGUAGAAAAUGUUCCAUAUAACAGGGCAAUCAUGUGUCUUCAAAUUCUUUCAACUUGAGGUCUUUCAUUAGAACAAAGCUUCUGAUAUCAGAUGAGUAUCCUUCUGGAAACCUUAACUUCACUCAGAGACUAUACACAAAAUUUUUUUCUCCUUUCUAGAUAAAGAGUAAAAGCAGCAGUGGUUAGAUAUGUUCGUUCUUUCCUUUCUUCACGGGUGCUUAAUUCAGCUUCUCAUUCCACAUUUUUAACAUGUCCUCCCUUGCUUUAAGCCACCUAUAGACUUGCCUUUUAUUAUGAGUAAUGUACUGAUAACACCUUUCAAAUUACGGUUUUGUUCAAAUAUGCAUAACAUCGAGAAAAUGUCUCACGUACAAAGGACUUCCAUGAUGGCAAUUCAAAAAAUAUCGACCUUUUCUUCCACCCACCUUGUCACAAAUUCUGAUGUGCAAAAGGCCUGCCAAACUCAGUACGCACCAUCUUCACCUUUUCAAAAACUUGUUUCACCUUGACAAUUGCGGCGUUGCGAGCUCUACGAUGUUCCGGUUGUUCUCGCAUGAAUGCUUUUCUCACCCACGAUCUCUCUCCGGGAGGGAGGGAGAGAGAGAGAGAGAGAGAGAGAGAGAGAGAAUCAUUAAACCAAGUUCUAACCGUUAAAGAGCGAAAUGCAGACAAUGGCCUGAAGAAUUAUUGUCUAGUACUAAAUGGUAUAACUUGUUUUCUAAUAUAACUUUAUAUAUCAUAUUAUAAUUCUAUAAUGCAAUCCAAAACGUUAUAUAUUCGGUAGGGGGUUGAAAAAACACUCAAACCACCUAAGAUGUAAUAAGCCCAUCUUCUAAACAAACCUUAACAACAACAUUCAUCAACAACAAAUCUUAUACAACAUACAAGAUAAAACAAACAACACUUAUUAACAACAACAAAAAUAUCAAUAACAUAGCAUAAACUACAUACAACAUACAAGUUUUAUUACUAACAACAACAUAUCAACUCAUAAGAUGUUUCAGAAAUGUACAUGUCCCAAAAUGGUAUCCACAAUAAAAGGAGGAUCAAGCUGAAGUGAGAGCUGCAAACUUGUGUUAAAUUUGAAUGAAUGUUAUUUUGAAGUCUUUCGAAAGUUUGCAGUGCUCACUUUAACUUCACCCUCGUUUAUUUUUUCCAUUCACCUUCCCUACCUACAAUUCAGAACCAGCUGAAAGUUCACUCAUCUUAAGUUAUAAACGUCAUAUUAUCCUACAAACAUUAUGAAGCAAGCUAUUGAAACGUAAAAAAUGAUACAUAAACAAAAUAGUUCACUUCUUAGGUUAUACAUUCACUCAUAUUAAGUUAACCUCUGAACAAAUUUUAAAACAUAAACUAUUAUGAAGACGAACCUGUAAUGUAGCAAUUUCCUAAGAUUUGAUGCAACAAAGGUAAUCCUGUAAGGAAUACGAGUUUGUUGCAUGAGUUUAGGGGUUCCAUUUUGAAUGUUUGUGAAGAAAGGUUGUCGAAAUGUUAAUGCAUAUUAGGAUAUAUGAGAAAGACGAGUGAGAGAGACGUUAAAGUUUUGUAUUGAGAAAGACGAUUCUUAUGUAGUGAAGCGAGAGAUAAUUUUGCUUAUAUAUAAAUAUGUAAAAUCUUUCACCAUGCUUGAUAAUAAGAAAUAAAAUUAAAUAUAAGGACAAACCCAUUUUGUCACGAAAAAAUAGAAAAUUGUUGGUGCUGGUAUUUGAACCCUUACACUCCAUGUACAUUUCACCAUGAUUGUUAACUAUGACCGUAGUCAAAUGUCCUUUAGUAAGUAGAAAAAAACGUGCAAAAAAGAGUUAUUAGCAUGAUUAACAGGAAGUCUGUUGUAAUAUGGUGUUAUGAAAAGUCUAUUUUUUAGUAGUGAUAGGAAGAUGAUAGGAAUAACAGCAACAAAGACUCACAUAAAAUAAGAGAGAGAGAGAGAGAGAGAGAGAGAGAGAGAGAGAGAGAGAGAGAGAGAUUGAUUAUGCAUAGGAAGGAAAUAGGAGCACCUCUUUAUAAAAGAGAGAGAGAGAGAGAGAGAGAGAGAGAGAGAGAGAGAGAGAGAGAUUGAUUAUGCAUAGGAAGGAAAUAGGAGCACCUCUUUAUAACAAUGCUUUUGAGCAUUUUAACGUGUAAAAACUCAAAAUCUAUGAAGAUUUGACCCAGAAAAUGUUGGAAGCAAAAAUUUCCAAAAUAUAUGUGAUAAUUGAUUAUUCAAGGAGAAUAAUUGAUUAUUAGAUGUAAAUUUUGAAGAUUUCGUGUUUUCUUCAUUAAGGCUCUAAUUUGAAUUUCUUUAAGGGAAAUAUAUAUUAUGUUCUCGCUUGAAAUUUGAAAUGUAUAUACAACAUAAUCGAUUGUGAUAAUCUAUUAUUUGUCUAAAUUUUAGUCUUCUUGAUCUUUUGGAUCUUGGGUUGAAAUAUGACUUUGACAUAUUGCUUUUGGCACCCACCUUUCAUUCAGAUUUCACUCCUUUCUCCAAAAAUGCAUAAAACUCAAAUAAGUCAUUAGUAAAAAUUAAUUUAAAUAACUAAAUAAUUUAAUAAAUCACUCAUUUAAAGAGUUAGUGAAACUUUUCCGAUUUUUAUACAAAAAAAAAUAUUCACCUAAACAUCAAGGAAACAACAAAACAUUAUCGUAAAUCGUUUUUUUUUCAAAUUAUUUGACUUGAGAGUUGCAAAGUAUAUGACUCAAGAGUUGGUUUAGACCACAAUAUUGAUAAAUUUAUUACAAAUUUAUUACCUCAAUAUAUUAAGAGGUUAAAUAAUCAUCACAAAAAAUAACUUACUUACUUAUCUAUAUAAAAUAUAAUAUAAAAAUGAAAAAUCAUAUUUUUCCAAGUGUAAUUUUAUCAUUUAAAUAUAAUAUAAAUCAUAUAUUUGUUUAAAUUAUCUAAUAUAUAUAAUAAAACAAUUUAAUAUUAAAUAUACUUUUUAAAAUAUAAACUUAUUUAUAGAAUAGUGUCAAUACAUUUUUAUUAAAUCACAUAAACUAUUUUCCAAUUUAUUUAAACUUUUAUAGUAUCAUUUCUCGAUUUAAAAGUAGUGCACAAACACUAUAAAACAAUAUUACAUAUACAUUCAAUUAAAUUUUUUAUACUUACCAUAUUAUAUCAAUAUUACAUAUAAUCACUUCGCAAUCAUGUUUGGUGUUCCUCGCCAAUAUGGAAAGGUGAUUUAUGCGAGAGACAAACCUCAGAUGCUGAUGUUGUUCUGGAACAUCACUACGUUCGAUCAACUGAAGAGGGAGUUGGUUCGUUGGUUAGAUGGGAAAGUAUCAGAAGGGGAAAAAAUUAGAAGUAUUGAGAGACUUGACAGUAUCUUUUGUUGGAUGCGAAUGAAGACUGAUAAGGAUGCUAGGGAAAUGAUGUUCGGUCGAGACGACAUCAAUUUGAUUGUUGUAAUCAGUUAGAAAUAUUUCUAUUUUCAGAUAGCUUAUUUUGUACUGAUGUUUGUUGUGAACCUCAUUGUAACAAAAACUUAAUGAUAUAUAAUGAUUGAAGGUUACAGAAAUACAAUAUUACAAAAAGCUUAAGACCUAGAUGAUGCUCCUCGAUUGGGACAAUUGUUCUUGUUGUGUCCUGGUUGACGACAGAUACGACAUAAUCUUAUCAUUUUAUCUGUGGAAUCCAUCUCUGUUCUGAUAUGUGUGCUGCUUGGCCUUCCUUUUUUCUUUCUUUGCAUCUCGUCAUUGUGCCAAACAAUAUCACCUUAAUAUGGAGGCCAGUAAUCCUCCAUUGGUAGUACUGAGAAGCUUUGAUUAUACACAUUCAUGAUGGUGUCGGCCUUGUACACAUCAGAUAAAUGGCUGUAAGCAUCUUGACGAGUAUAAGCGCAUGCUGCAAUGACGUGGGAGCAAGGUACACGGAAGGCCUGGAAUUUUCCACAAUCGCACCAACUUCUGUUUAGUCUAACAACGUAGGCUAAAUUUGGUCUCCCCUCGUUGUGGUCCAUUGUUUCAUGGACGCUGAAAUUUUGUCUAUGACGGUCAAAGACUGUUACAGCGUGUGUGCUAGCUUUGAUGCUCUCCUCUUUCAUGACCUUCAUGCAACACUCACUAAAUACUUGCCCAGACAUUAACACCGCACUCCGUCUUUCACCUCUGGUUGCGAACGUAGAAGCCAACCUAUAAUAGGUUGAUCUUACCAAGGCGAUUAUCGGCAGAUUUCGAAUUCCUUUGAAUACCCCGUUCAUGCAUUCCACAAGGUUUGUUGUCAUGUGGCCCCAUCAACAACCUCUGUCAAAUGCCCUUAUCCACUGCUCUACUGGUAUGUUAUUUAGCCAUCUCUCUGCGUCUUCAUUAGACAGUCUAAUUUCAUCACGAUAAUAUUGAAAUGACGGUUGAGUUAGAGCAUACCCAGCAUUCACCACCUUCUUGCGAAGAUUCUUAUCUUUUAUAGCACACAUGAAGUUUUGUGCAAUGUGUCUGAUGCAAUAGACAUGGGUAGAAGGAGGAUCAUGCCAUCCGUUGUCAUAGUUGUUGUAGGCACUCUCAAUGGCAGCAUGUCUAUCAGAAAUCUAACAGAGAUUGACUUGUGGAGCCACAUGCGUUCUGAGAUGUCGAAGAAAGAAACCCCAUCCACCAGCCGUUUCACCUUCAACAAGAGCAAAGGCAAUGGGAAAGACAUUGUUGUUGCCGUCUUGUGCAACCGCCAAAGUACCUUGUAUUGCGUAUAACCAAGUGCCAUCAAUUUGAAUAAUAGGUUUGGCAGAAUGCGAACUUGAUGCACGGGAUAAUGCCCAAAAGAGACGGUGAAGAUUCUUUCCUGUAGCACAAGUUCGUCUUGCAUCAUCGUGUGGAUCGUGUGAAGCUGCAGUCAGUUUAUUGCCCAAAUAUCCCACAGCUAGCCUAGGAGAAUGGCAUCUGCGCAAAGUUAACGACCAAUGGAACUUCAAUCCAUGGCAAAGCUUCGCAAGAUCGGAGUGUCGCAAAUGGAAGCACCGUCAUGACCAUGUGUUAACUGACGCGGUCAUGCCAACUGAAGAAAAACCAAGUCGUACUUAUAUGGCUUGGUACAUAUCAGUUGGUUUUUAGUUCAUCGCCGAGGAUAUGUACUUGUACGACCCACGCCAGAUGACUUACACACCUGACACCUCAACAUCGAACCCCCAACAACAGUGUCAGACCGGAUACACACAACCUCCUGUCCGUCAAACGUUCCGUUCAACCAACACACAAACAUACACCCAAAACAUUCCAUACACCCAACCCCAAUACCAAGAGUAUACCCCAUACCACCACCAACAAAUUGACCAUCAACCCGAGACUCAACAUCGCUUCGCACCCACCCCAUCACCCUACUAAAGUCGCCUAAGCCAAAAUACCCAACGAUUAUUCAACACCAACCGCCCCUCCUCCUACCGUAGCCAAGAAGCCCAAACCUCACAAAACCAAAACAUCCAACAACCCUAUCUCUACCAAACACCCCAACAACCUUUCCAACCUUUCCUCGAUGCAUCGACUACCGUAGCCAAGAAGCCCAAACCUCACAAAACCAAAACAUCCAACAACCCUAUCUCUACCAAACACCCCAACAACCUUUCCAACCUUUCCUCGAUGCAUCGUUCACACCCAUGUCUCCCUUCAACUGUCCCGGUCGCCCAUCAAUGAGUCAAUCACAUCCCAACUUCUCUGGCAUGGGUCAUGAGCUCAGCUAUGGCGGUACACCAUCGAUGCAUACUGAAGACUAUGCCGACUUGUCUGACUAUCUCAACAGACCUUCUCCUGUAGUUGGUAGUGACGCUCCUGGGCCCUCAGAUGCUCAAACACCGGUACCGAAUCGUCAACGUGGGUUAGGGCCACAGGUUAGGGUAGCUAGAGGAUGUGGGACCGAAGGUCGGUUAGGUGAUCCCGGUCAUCACCAUUAGGUUUCUUUGUGUAAACGGAAAAUUUUAUUAAUAUCAAGUGGUCCUAUAUCAAAUUUAUCUAUCACGUAUACCAUUUACAAAAAAAAUUGCAUUUUAGGAGGAGUCUCCAAUUGAAUUGGCGCCUCCUCUUAAACCCUAUACAGGGGGGCUAGGGCACUUGCCCUAGCCAAUCCAAUUGGCGCCUCCAUUCAAUUUUUAAGAGGAGUCUCCAAUUCAAUUGGCGCCUCCAUUCAAUUUUUAAGAGGAGUCUCCAAUUCAAUUGGCGACUCCUCCUAAAAGUGGGGUAGUUUGGAAAUUUUUUUGAAACCAUGGAUAUUUUGGAAAUUUCCUUGAAAAAUUGGGUUAUUUUCGUAAAAAUUUCAAUACACGUCUUUUAUUGAUUUUAUAUUGUAAUAUCGGUUCAUAUUCAUUUUUCUCGAAUUUCUUUAUUGAUAAAAUUUAAAAUGAUACAAGCUAAAUUCAGAAAAAUAUAAAUAAAUUUUUUACAAGUGUAAUUCUUUUAAAUUAUCAUGUUGUGUGUUAAAAUCUUAAUCUACCAAUUUUUUUAAAAAAGUAUUCCGUUUGUUAUCAGUUAUGUAUAAGACAUACUAGUAUAUGAUAAAAUGAUUAUAAACUAUUCCCACGUUUUGACAAUGUCAAAUGUCCAAGUAAUACGAUUAAUUAUCUUAGCAGCAGUCAUUAACGAAGAGGAGGCUACACUACACAUAUUUAAAAAUAGUACUUACUACUAACCCACCCAUGUUGUACGCAUACAUCUUUUCCUUAGCCGACCGCAUUUUUAUUCAAUUAUUAUUACAUAGAUGAUAGAUUCACCAAUUUCUCUCCUUUCUAUAUAUACAUACACACCAUCUAUUUAUUCCUCAUCUCAUAAUUCAUAGUAAUAUAUCUUCUCCUGCUUAAUUUCUCUGUUACUCAUUAACAAGUAUGGCCGAUAACCAACCUCAGUUGAACGAUUCUUACUAUGGACCUGCAAUUCCAGCUGCUCGAGGGCAAUCCAGCAACCGCCGCAACCGUGGCGGAAGCGGUUGUUGCACUCUCUUUACCUUUUUAUGGAAACUUCUAGUUGCACUUAUUGUUCUCUUUGGUCUCAUAAUCCUUAUCUUCUAUCUCAUUGUACAACCGCUUUCCUUCAAGUUCUAUGUCACAAAAGCCCAAUUAACUCAAUUCGACUACACAAACAACACACUACACUAUAACAUGGUGCUCAACUUUACAGCUCACAACCCAAAUAAAAAACUCAGCAUUUACUAUGACAAAGUUGAAGCUCAAGCAUUCCUCGAAGGGUCGAGGUUUGCUAAUGUUGACAUGAUCACACACAUGAACUCGUUUCGCCAAUACAAGAAAGGCAGUAACCCCAUGAGUGGAGUUUUUGCAGGACAAAAAUUGUUGAUGCUCGAUAUUGGUCAAGUCUCCGAGUUCAACAAAGAUAAGAAUAUUGGAGUUUAUAAUAUCUAUGUUAAGCUCUACUUUACGGUUAGGUUUAGGCUUGGCGACUCCAUAUCCAGAAAGUACAAACCUAAGGUCAAGUGCGACCUCACUGUUCCUUUGAGCAACGAAAAUGGAACUGGGUUUACCUUUAUUCGACUUAUACCCACUAAGUGUAAUGUUGAGUUCUAGGUUCUAAGCUUGCACUUUCUUGUAAUUGUUUUCCUUUCUCUCUUUUUUUUUCUUUCUUUUUGCUUUUGAGCCUAAUAUUGGCAUGCAAGAUAUUGGUUGUUAUUUUAUUCAUUUUUUGACUCUAAGGUACAUGUACCAUCCAUGCAAUUUAUUCUAGUGCUUAAGAUUUUUUUAUUUAUCUUAGUUUAAGUUUUCUUAGAUGAUUAAUUUUCAAUUUUAAUAGUCAAAGUUUCUAUAGAGUGCAUUUGGAAAGGAUAUUUAAAAAUUAAUUUUAGUGAAAUUAGAAGUUCACAUGAUUCAAACGCUAUAACUUAUUCCCUUUCCACUUAAGAUUUUUAGGAGGUGGCAUCAUGUUAAGGGUGAGUCUUAUUCUAUGUCAUUUGUUUAUUACUAUCUUAUAGUUCGGGUGUUUCGUCUGAGCGUCAGAUUAGUCCUAGGACGGUAAUGCUCUGGAGUAUUUGGAGUAGUUAGUCUCUUUUAAAGUUAUUGUGUUUUUCUAGUAAUUCCUUUAGGAUCGUAUCCCUGUUAGAGAGAAUUUACUCAAAUAUAGAGUUUUAUUCGAUGUUCUCUUGUCCUUUCUGUUUGGCUCACCCGGAGUCGUCCUCCCAUCUCUGUCACAUGUGACAUGGGAUCCAUUUUUAGUAUAAGAUUUUUAGGUGGUUAAGGUGGUAUGUAGAUUUACCUAGUGACAUUUUGACUCUCAUUCAGAUGUUCUAUCCUAUUAGAGGACUGUUAAGGACUAAGGGAGUUUAUUAAUGAUUUCACAUGUUGUGGUCUGGCCGAUUUGGAAAUUCUAUAAUGAUAAAGUGUUCUCUGAUUCUUCGGUGACAGUGAAAAAUGUGGAAGACAUGAGUAUCAUCAUGACUUGGAAAUUAUAUCUUGGUAGGUAUGUGGAUAACUCUUAUACUUUCACAACUUGAUGCGAGAACCCUAUCAUGCAUCUGAGCGAAUAGGGGUUUGAGGGACUAUGACCUCCCUUGGACGUGCUCUUGUUGUGUUCUUCUAAGACUGGCGUUGCUUAUGCGAGUCCUGCCGUAGAGAUCUAGCGUUUCCAUGUGUUUGAUCCCUUUUUUUUGUUUUGGUGUUCUUUACUUUUGGAUUUGCAUAUGGGGUUUUGGUGUUUAUGUUGUAUUUUUAUUGGUUUCUUCGUCCUCCAGAAUAUAUAUAUAUAUAUAUAUAUAUAUAUAUAUAUAUAUAUAUAUAUAUAUAUAUAUAUAUAUAUAUAUAUAUAUAUAUAUAUAUAUAUAUAUAUAUAUAUAUAUAUAUAUAUAUAUAUAUNNNNNNNNNNNNNNNNNNNNNNNNNNNNNNNNNNNNNNNNNNNNNNNNNNNNNNNNNNNNNNNNNNNNNNNNNNNNNNNNNNNNNNNNNNNNNNNNNNNNNNNNNNNNNNNNNNNNNNNNNNNNNNNNNNNNNNNNNNNNNNNNNNNNNNNNNNNNNNNNNNNNNNNNNNNNNNNNNNNNNNNNNNNNNNNNNNNNNNNNNNNNNNNNNNNNNNNNNNNNNNNNNNNNNNNNNNNNNNNNNNNNNNNNNNNNNNNNNNNNNNNNNNNNNNNNNNNNNNNNNNNNNNNNNNNNNNNNNNNNNNNNNNNNNNNNNNNNNNNNNNNNNNNNNNNNNNNNNNNNNNNNNNNNNNNNNNNNNNNNNNNNNNNNNNNNNNNNNNNNNNNNNNNNNNNNNNNNNNNNNNNNNNNNNNNNNNNNNNNNNNNNNNNNNNNNNNNNNNNNNNNNNNNNNNNNNNNNNNNNNNNNNNNNNNNNNNNNNNNNNNNNNNNNNNNNNNNNNNNNNNNNNNNNNNNNNNNNNNNNNNNNNNNNNNNNNNNNNNNNNNNNNNNNNNNNNNNNNNNNNNNNNNNNNNNNNNNNNNNNNNNNNNNNNUAUAUAUAUAUAUAUAUAUAUAUAUAUAUAUAUAUAUAUAUAUAUAUAUAUAUAUAUAUAUAUAUAUAUAUAUAUAUAUAUAUAUAUAAAAGUAGGGAUCAAUUUACUCCAAAAGUAUAUUUUUUUAACUUACUCAAAAUCAAAACAUUUAAAUUAAAUUUAAUCUAAUAGUUAAUUAAGUAAAAAUGCUUAUUGACCAUUAAAUUAGAUUCAAUUUGAAGGCUAUGAUUUAGAGUAAGUUAAAAGAACUUACUCUUGAAAUAAGUUGAUCUCCAUUAUAUUUGCCUUUAAAAAAUGUUAUAACUCAUUUUAUUUCUUAUACAUAUAUACCUUUAUAUUUUGUAAUAGCCUAAGCUUGUUUGACAUCAAUUGACUUCAAACCUUUAAGGUAGAGCAGGUAUGUCCAUGGAGAGGGCUCAAAGAAGCAUGAUUAAACUUACUAUUAAGGGAGGAAGGUGAUUUUUUUUAUUAUCAUGGGUCCGGUAAACUGAUUUGAGUAUUCAGUUCAAUCUAUGUGAAGCUACCAUUAGUUGCGAAGAGGAUGAUGCUACUAUAUGUGGCGAUGAUAGUGAGAAGGUGACAACGAAGUACCCUGAGAAAGAGCAAUAUGGUAAUUCAUAAAUCAAAAAUCUUACAAGUCUCCAAAAAAUGUUGAAAGAUGUUAAAUUAACUCAUCAAGAAUUAAGUAGUGGAAAUCGCAAAAUCAUUGCGCCCUUUGGGGUAGUAGUGCACCAUACACGAUAUCAUUGCGUCACUUUGUUUACCAUUCGGCACUACGGGAUAUCAUUGCUUCCUAUGGGGGACAUGUCAUCACUACAACAAAGAGUAUAUUUCGUAACAAACUUUUACCUCAACCAAUUAAUUUUACCGAGGUAAAUCUAUUCGAUUAUGCACCUUUCUUUCAUUUUAAUUUUAAGUCACUUUUUCCCCUCGUUCAUUGUUAUCAAGUGUUCGGAAAUAUGGUUUCUUCCUUUUAAUUUAUUUUUAAAUUAAAAUUAAAUUACUUUUUCCCUUAGUUAUCUUACACAAUUUUGAGGAAAUGUCCUUCAAGAAAACACUUAGAAUCCCAACAGUAACAAUUUUAUUUUUUUAUUCAUUUUAUGCAACUUUUUCCCUCGGUCAGUUUUAUCAACCAUGGGAACACAUGAAUUAGAAACAAAAAAAUAAAAUGAGAAAAAGUUGAAAAAGGAAACACCACAAUUUGUUGUUUCCUAUCCAUUUUUUUAAGAUUUGCUAUUUUCUUUUUGUGUUGCAAUAUCUUAUUAACUUUUUACAAUCCUGAAAGCUCGGGCUUCAAAGGUUAAUGUUAAAGUUCAAGCAUACCAUUUACUUGAUAAAGUGAAACUUAACAUUAAUCUUCAAACCAAAAAUUUCAAGAUACUUUUUUAGCAUCUUCAAAAUCAAAUCUUCAAAGUCGGUGAUACAACAAAAACAAUAAUACAACAAGAAAUCAUCCUUCCUAGUUUGAUUUAUGAAAGAAAUUAGGUUUUCGAGUUUGGAUUAGGGGAAAGUAGAGUUUGGUUAAUGGAGGAUAAAGUUUGGAGGAGAAAUGAGUUAGAUUUAAGGCAAAGUUGAAUGGCGUUGAGCUUUUAUAGGAAAAAAUGACUAUCCUUUUUCCAUGGUUGGGAAAACUUACCAAGUGAAAACUUAUUCCAUUUUUUUAUAUAUUUUAUAUUUAAAAAAUUACAUUUUCCCACACUGUUGACAAAGGUGGAAAGUUAUUCUUUUUUAUUUUAAAUUAAAUAGAUAAUCUUUCCCUACAUCUGUUAAAACAAACCGAUGUGAAAAGUUCCACUCCUUUUCUAUUGUAAAUUAACAAAUUACAUAAACAAGUUGUAUCUUAUUCCCCUUCAUAACAUAAAACCCCCUAGCGAAACCCCAUCUCCAUAAACGUGCAAAGCACAAUUUCUUUAUUAAUCUCUAUUAUAUUUUCUUUGACAUGUUUGAAACAAGGAAAUGAAACAUGAAACUCACAAGAAGAAAACAUAAAACUAAUUUCUUUGAGUUAUUCAUCACAUUUCAUGUAACAUCUUGUAUAAUAUACAUUUAAAAAAUACAUUAUACACACUGUUAAUUGCUACUGAUACAACACAAGUGUCUAACGACAUCAUUAUAUAUACAUGUCCAAAAAGAAAAAUAUAACUAUGAAAAAUGAUAUACAAGAGCUCCUAAUCAAAACUAUGAUCUAUUUACAAUAUCCAUAGACGCGCAUAGGCCAUAGCAGAAGAUCAUGAUGACAAAAACCUUCGAAACAUCAAAAAACAAGCUUAUUCUUGCCUUUAACCUACAAGUUACCACCUAAAAAUAAUAAAAAUGGGGUGAGAUGAUAAUCUCAAUGAGUUCCCCUAUCUUAGGUGUUCACCCGGCUCUAAAGAGAUUUUAUCGAAUUGUAUCUUAAGCCAUUCAACUCUGCCAUACUUGUGCACGUUUACACAAUAGAACAAGGACUUAAGCAUCUAAGGAAAUUUAUGCUUCGUAUGAAAAACACACAACAUAGUUCACAUAACUCAAUGAAUCACUAUUUGGGAAUGCAUAACAAAUUAUCUUUCCCCGAUCUAUGUAGGACUAUGGACACGGGUCAGGAUCUCUGCUUUCUCGGAUAAUUUGUCCUCGGCCGAUCCAAAUCCAAGGACUAUGGACAUGGGUCACGAUUUUCGGCACAACAAUGAUAGUCUCCUCGACUGAUCUGAAUCCACAGAUUUUGGUCACGGAUCACAAACUUUCCCAUAUCAUGGAAUAUUUUUUUUCCCAGCCAUCCGAAUCCAUAACUUUCAUUGAACAAAUAAUCAUUCGUCUUCCCGAUUACUAACUUAUAUGAGUGUCAAACUCUGGAUACACACAAAUAAGGGUUAUUCCUAAAUACACGAUUGAUUCAUUAAUCACCACAUGAUCAUUUUAAUCAAACAUCAUGUAAUCAUUUCACAAUCACCAUGGAUUAAUGUCAUAAAUACCAUGUGAUUCUAUCAUAAUCACAAUACUACAACGUGUUCCUAUACAAGCUAGACGAAUCACAAGUUAUGAUAUCGUGCAUCAUCCAUGCCUUUGGCAUUCUCGUAGAUUUGAUGACUAACCUCUAACGAUUACUCAUUCACGGAUGCACACUGAUGCACCUCUUAUAUCCGAGUAUCGCAAUCUAAGUUAUUUACCAUAACCUAAGUUCUUUUUACUAAUUUCACUCACCUAGCUAUAACUCUAGGUUUAUUCUCACUCUUCAUUAUGGAACUUUAUUUAUUCAUUAUUCAUUCAAUACAUACACAUCAUAACAUUAUACAUGAAUGACAUAAAAUAGAUCAUUAACAAUAGGACUUUUGAACCACUACAAGAAAUUUGACACGUGCCAACGACAAAAAUCAGUUGGUAAAGGUCAAAAAACCGUUGGUAAAUGUUAAAAAAACAUAUACCAACGAACGUUUGCUUCUGUCAACUAUAAUUUCCUAUACCAACGGAAAUUUUCCGUCCCAAUAUCUUAUACCAACGACAAUUUUCAGGUGUUGGACAAAACUUUAGAGUUAUAGCAAUGGCUAAUUAUUCUGUUAAAUAACUUUAUUCACCACUUAUUUCCGUAGCAAUGACUAAUUAUACUAUUUAAAAACCUUAUCCACCACUUAUUUCCGUUGGUAUAGGACAAAACUAGUUGUUGGUAUGUGUCUUUUUUUUACAAAUAUUUCUUUUUUAUAAUUAACAUUUUAUAAUAAACAUUUUAUAAUAAUCGAAUUUGGCAAUACUUUCUAUAUGCACCACACAAAAUUUAAAGCAACAUAAAAAAAAAUUUCAAUUGGCGCCAUGCAUGAUGAUGCAUUCUUAUAGUGAAAGUCAGAAAGUGUAGGUAAAAGUCUAUUUACCGUAGGUAUAACCUAAAUAACUUAUUCCUACAGAAUCGUAGGUACAACAAAUUAUAUGUCACAAAAAGUGGCGUAUAAGUAUUUCAGAGCUAUAUCUCCGGUAAAUUGACUUUUACCUAAGCAUAUAACUGUCACUAUAAGCUUAGCCAUCAUUUGUACCUAAAUAAAUGCAUGUGCCAGACUUUUACAUAUGGUUUUUGACGGUCACUAUAAGCAUGCACCAUCAUGCAUGUCGCCUAUGUACUGUUUGAAUUUUUUUAUUUGAAAUAUUGUUACUUUGGCAUUUCUUUUUGAAAAUAUUGUUAUUUUGGAAUUUAAAAAAAAUAAAUUCUGCAAUCAUAUCAAAAUAACAAAAUAAUGUCAAUUCUAUAAUCACAACCACUAAAAUAAAUGCUACGACAAUAAAAAAUACAAAAAUUUAUUUAAGAUAAAAACAAUUUCUAAUCUUCCUCUCUUCCAUCUUCAUCUAUGCUUUCUCUAAUCUUCCUUUGUUCCAUCUUCAUAGUAAAUAGUAGCAUGACAAUGAUAAUAGGAUCGUGAGAAAUAGCCCGGUUGAAUGAGCAUAGACUUCUUAUAUUGAACUACGACGACUUCCUCUGCUAUGAUCCAGCUAUCGCAAUCGUUCUCAACAACUCUGACAAAAUUAAUACAUAAGAGUGUCACAUGUUAGGAUAUAGAUAUCAUAGAAUUAGAAUUAGUUAGGAAGUUAGUUAUUUGUUUAGUUAGGAUUAUUUUGUAUAAAUAGGGAGUUAGUUAUCUCAUUGAACUAUGAACAAUAAGAUAUAAUGUCAAAAUUGCGGCGAAUAACAAGUGGAGGCUUCAUUUAAAAAUACUAGAACACAACACAAUCCAGAGGGAAUUUCUUUCAUACGAAUGCUUCUUUCUUCAAUUCAAUCUGCUUCGUGGCUGUUUCGGAGAAGCUGUUAACGAAACUCAGUCAAAACCAUUUUCCAUAUUGAUAUAGGUUCCUUAACAAAGUGGAAAAUGAAUCAUAAAUAAUUAUAGCAAAUAUUCAAACACGCACACGUUUUUACAACCGCGUUAGCGCAUUAAAUCUCCUUUCUAUAUAUACACACUACUCUUUGUUCCUUUAACCUCACAAUUCAUUCUUUCAAUUUACAUUUUUCACUACAACUCGUUUUCUUCCUUUAAUCUCAUUAACAUCAAUUCUGUAUCCAUUUCCUCUUCGUAAAACAAUGGCAGAUAUUAAGCAACCACAAUUGAACGGAGCAUACUACGGUCCCGCCAUUCCACCACCAGCACAACCCCGUCCGCACCACCACCGAAGCAGAAGCUGUUGUU
Molecule: long non-coding RNA, 17595 nt
Filed under: Lathyrus oleraceus (garden pea)
Lineage: Eukaryota; Viridiplantae; Streptophyta; Magnoliopsida; Fabales; Fabaceae
Description: Pisum sativum (pea) long non-coding RNA (PSAT_LNC008731)
Source: RNAcentral